This 292-nucleotide ribosomal RNA is filed under the name uncultured bacterium. RNAcentral describes it as "partial 16S ribosomal RNA". It matches the Rfam family "Bacterial small subunit ribosomal RNA", at positions 505 to 796 of the family's 1533-position model. The record is from RNAcentral.
GUGUCAGCCGCCGCGGUAAUACGGAGGGGGCAAGCGUUAUUCGGAUUUACUGGGCGUAAAGCGCACGUAGGCGGCAUUGCAAGUCGUAGGUGAAAGCCCUCGGCUCAACCGAGGAAUUGCCUUCGAAACUGCGCUGCUUGAGUCCGGGAGGGGGGAGCGGAAUUCCCAGUGUAGCGGUGAAAUGCGUAGAUACUGGGAGGAACACCGGUGGCGAAGGCGGCUCCCUGGACCGGUACUGACGCUGAGGUGCGAAAGCGUGGGUAGCAAACAGGAUUAGAUACCCGUGUAGUCC